RNAcentral lists this ribosomal RNA (410 nucleotides) under uncultured bacterium. RNAcentral's name for it is "partial 16S ribosomal RNA". It matches the Rfam family "Bacterial small subunit ribosomal RNA", at positions 355 to 755 of the family's 1533-position model. The record is from RNAcentral.
UGGGGAAUAUUGCACAAUGGGCGCAAGCCUGAUGCAGCCAUGCCGCGUGUGUGAAGAAGGCCUUCGGGUUGUAAAGCACUUUCAGCGAGGAGGAAGGUGGUGAGCUUAAUACGCUCAUCAAUUGACGUUACUCGCAGAAGAAGCACCGGCUAACUCCGUGCCAGCAGCCGCGGUAAUACGGAGGGUGCAAGCGUUAAUCGGAAUUACUGGGCGUAAAGCGCACGCAGGCGGUUUGUUAAGUCAGAUGUGAAAUCCCCGGGCUCAACCUGGGAACUGCAUUUGAAACUGGCAAGCUAGAGUCUCGUAGAGGGGGGCUAGAAUUUCCAGGUGUAGCGGUGAAAUGCGUAGAGAUCUGGAGGAAUACCGGUGGCGAAGGCGGCCCCCUGGACGAAGACUGACGCUCAGGUGCG